GGGAUCGAACCCAGGGCCUUGUGCAUGCCGGUGAACUCUCUACCACUCAGCUACACCCAGCCCAGGCUCACAUUCUUGGCUGCAUCUUAACUCGGUCAUCUACAAAGACUUUCUCCUGAGGUGCUUGGGCUUAAAACGUCAACAUCUUUUGGGAGGAUGCAGCUCAAUGCGGAGCUUCACUGCCGGAUCCCUACAGAGGCCAUUCCUGACCACCCCACCUAGCACAGCUUCCCUCAGCGGGCAUGGUAGUGCACGCGUGAGAUUCCAGCUCAUGGGAGGCAGAGGCAGGAGAAUCUUGAGUUCAAGUCCACCCUGGACUACACAAGACCCUGUUUCGAAACAAUAACAACAAACAAAACCCUCAAACCAAACCAACCAAAGAAACAGCUUCUUCCAUCCUGUGUCCUCCAGCCCCUGCUCAUUCCUGUCACUCCCUCUUCACAACUGCAAGGAGACAUGAGGUUGUGGGGUUACAGGUGCCAGGUCCUGCAGAUGGCAUAGGUAGACGCUUCGUAAAUGUCUGUGAAAUUAACA
This 534-nucleotide long non-coding RNA is filed under the name Heterocephalus glaber (naked mole-rat). Its description in RNAcentral is "lncRNA (ENSHGLG00100049639.1)". Lineage: Eukaryota; Metazoa; Chordata; Mammalia; Rodentia; Bathyergidae. The record is from RNAcentral.